RNAcentral lists this long non-coding RNA (489 nucleotides) under Ananas comosus (pineapple). RNAcentral describes it as "long non-coding RNA (ACOM_LNC019211)". The record is from RNAcentral. Lineage: Eukaryota; Viridiplantae; Streptophyta; Magnoliopsida; Poales; Bromeliaceae.
AUGUAAAGAACUAGCUCGAGUUGUUAGGAUUUCCAUAUAUUGUGGCCCAAUUAAUUAUAUUUAAAUUAGGAUUUGCUAUAGAUAAAGGUCAAUCCUAACAGAUUUAGAACUACUUGAUAUGGUAUAUUUUAUCCCUAUCCCAUCUACUUUAAAUUUAAAUAGAAUCCUAAUCAGACUUUGAUGGGAAGUCGAUCUGGACUCUAUAUAAAGGGGUAUUGGUCCUGCCACCUUCUCAUAUAUGCAUUCUGGUGAAGAAUUACCAUCGGUUCCACACCAUACGGCAGAGUGCCUGAGAUAGGAGGAGAAACCAAAUCACCCAAGUUCGGUUCGUGACUUUCAGAUCAUAGCCGGACUUCCAGCUUCCGCAAGAUUGAUCAAGAAUUUCUUCUCUAUGGCGCUCUGUGAGUUAUCUUGUAUUUUUUAUUUUUGAUCCUGGAUUUGGUAUGUAUUUAUUUUUGAUUUUGUUUUACAUACCUAUAAAGUCUAUCA